GUGGGGAAUAUUGGACAAUGGGCGAAAGCCUGAUCCAGCCAUGCCGCGUGUGUGAAGAAGGUCUUCGGAUUGUAAAGCACUUUAAGUUGGGAGGAAGGGCAGUAAGUUAAUACCUUGCUGUUUUGACGUUACAAACAGAAUAAGCACCGGCUAACUUCGUGCCAGCAGCCGUGGUAAUACGAAGGGUGCAAGCGUUAAUCGGAAUUACUGGGCGUAAAGCGCGCGUAGGUGGUUUUGUAAGUUGGAGGUGAAAUCCCCGGGCUCAACCUGGGAACUGCCACCAAAACUGCAUGAAUAGAGUACGGUAGAGGGUAGUGGAAUUUCCUGUGUAGCGGUGAAAUGCGUAGAUAUAGGAAGGAACACCAGUGGCGAAGGCGACUACCUGGACUGAUACUGACACUGAGGUGCGAAAGCGUGGGGAGCAAACAGGAUUAGAUACCCGGGUAGUCC
RNAcentral lists this ribosomal RNA (450 nucleotides) under uncultured bacterium. Its description in RNAcentral is "partial 16S ribosomal RNA". It matches the Rfam family "Bacterial small subunit ribosomal RNA", at positions 354 to 796 of the family's 1533-position model. The record is from RNAcentral.